UUUCCCUCUCACAAAAUUUCCCCAAAAUUUUUUCCCUUUCAGUCUUUCACUUAGGGAUUUCAUGAGCUCUCUCAUUCUCAUUCUCACUCUCUCUCACGGUAAUCUCUCUUUCUCCCCUCACUCCUCUUCUCUCUUUUUCCCCUCCAUCGGACCCAUCUACCACUACCACCCAUUGCACAGCCACCCACUGCAUAGCCACCCUCUGCCACCAAUGCUAGCCACCGCCGCCGCCAUCAUUGACCUCCAAUCUCGCCAUUAGGAAGUUCUCACACAAAUCCCACAAAAGAAGUGCUUAGAGCUUAGUUUCAAAUACUGCCAUAAGCCAAUUAGCCAGACUCCACUGCAACGUU
This is a long non-coding RNA of Quercus robur (English oak), 350 nucleotides long. RefSeq lists it as uncharacterized. Lineage: Eukaryota; Viridiplantae; Streptophyta; Magnoliopsida; Fagales; Fagaceae. The record is from RefSeq and is a predicted model, not a curated record. The transcript is spliced from 3 exons.